GAUGAACGCUGGCGGCGUGCCUAAUACAUGCAAGUCGAGCGAACGGACGAGAAGCUUUCUUCUCUGAUGUUAGCGGCGGACGGGUGAGUAACACGUGGAUAACCUCCCUAUAAGACUGUGAUAACUUCGGGAAACCGGAGCUAAUACCGGAUGAUAUUUUGAACCGGAUGGUUCAAAAGUGAAAGACGGUCUUGCUGUCACUUAUAGAUGGAUCCGCGCUGCAUUAGCUAGUUGGUAAGGUAACGGCUUACCAAGGCAACGAUGCAUAGCCGACCUGAGAGGGUGAUCGGCCACACUGGAACUGAGACACGGUCCAGACUCCUACGGGAGGCAGCAGUAGGGAAUCUUCCGCAAUGGGCGAAAGCCUGACGGAGCAACGCCGCGUGAGUGAUGAAGGUCUUCGGAUCGUAAAACUCUGUUAUUAGGGAAGAACAUAUGUGUAAGUAACUGUGCACAUCUUGACGGUACCUAAACAGAAAGCCACGGCUAACUACGUG
This 497-nucleotide ribosomal RNA is filed under the name uncultured bacterium. RNAcentral's name for it is "partial 16S ribosomal RNA". It matches the Rfam family "Bacterial small subunit ribosomal RNA", at positions 28 to 507 of the family's 1533-position model. The record is from RNAcentral.